UCAUCCCUACGGGACGCAGCAGUAGGGAAUCUUCCACAAUGGGCGAAAGCCUGAUGGAGCAACGCCGCGUGGGUGAAGAAGGUCUUCGGAUCGUAAAACCCUGUUGUUAGAGAAGAAAGUGCGUGAGAGUAACUGCUCACGUUUCGACGGUAUCUAACCAGAAAGCCACGGCUAACUACGUGCCAGCAGCCGCGGUAAUACGUAGGUGGCAAGCGUUAUCCGGAUUUAUUGGGCGUAAAGGGAACGCAGGCGGUCUUUUAAGUCUGAUGUGAAAGCCUUCGGCUUAACCGGAGUAGUGCCUUGGG
This 305-nucleotide ribosomal RNA is filed under the name uncultured bacterium. RNAcentral describes it as "bacterial SSU rRNA". It matches the Rfam family "Bacterial small subunit ribosomal RNA", at positions 333 to 630 of the family's 1533-position model. The record is from RNAcentral.